AAAGAUUUGAGUUCUAUAACAAAAGAAUGCACAGCUCAAAACCUAAGAAAAAAAAUUAAACUGAAGUGUAAAAAUCUUAAGUUAAAGAGAAAAUUAAAGAGCCACAAUCAAAAGUCGAGCAACACUGCAAUGUUGGAGUUGAAUAAAAAAAACCAGUCCAAAAAAAGAAAAGAUUAAUUGAUGAUUGGGGUCUAGUUCAGCGUUGUCAAGUAGAAGUGUUGUUGGUGCCCAGGCGGCGUGUCAGGAUCUUCAAAGAGAGAGAACAAGGGUUGUGUGCCUGGUUGGUGGUAUGAUGUAGAUGGUGGGAGGGUGGUUCUAUUGGCCCUUGAAUCCUCUUCUUAUUCGCUGCAAUCUCCUUCGUCUCCCUCUCCUCAGUCUUUUAGCCUCCUCCAUUUCUCUUUUUGCAGUGGCGUGUUCCUCAAAGAGAGAGAACAUGGGUUGCGUGGUUGAUAGGGUGACUCUGUUGGCUCGUGAACCCUUUUCUUAUUCGCUGCCAUCUCCUUCGUUUCUCCUCGGUCUUUUUGCCUCCUUCGUUUCUCCUCUCCUCGGUCUUUUUGCCUCCUUCGUUUCUCCUCCUGCAAGCCCUUUUGGUUUAGAGAAAGCUGUGGCGUAAUAUAAGAAAAAUAAAUUAAAAAAAAUAAACUCCAUAAAAACCCCAAAAUAAACUUCCAGAAUAACCAAGCCUUCCAAAUUAAUAAGCCUAAAAUCGUUAUAAUCCACAGUAAAUAUAGUGUAGAACCACAACGCACACAUAGUUUUUUUUUUUUUAACUAAAAAAUAAAAAUAAAAUAGAAA
RNAcentral lists this long non-coding RNA (795 nucleotides) under Populus trichocarpa (black cottonwood). RNAcentral's name for it is "long non-coding RNA (PTRI_LNC003806)". Lineage: Eukaryota; Viridiplantae; Streptophyta; Magnoliopsida; Malpighiales; Salicaceae. The record is from RNAcentral.